CCUACGGGUGGCAGCAGUGGGGAAUAUUGCACAAUGGGGGAAACCCUGAUGCAGCGACGCCGCGUGAAGGAAGAAGUAUUUCGGUAUGUAAACUUCUAUUAGCAGGGAAGAAAAUGACGGUAUCUGACUAAGAAGCUACGGCUAACACCGAGCCAGAAGCCGCGGUAAUACGGAGGUUGCGAGCGUAAUCCGGAUUGAUUGGGUUUAAGGGGUGCGCAGGCGGAUUUUUAAGUCAGCGGUAAAAUCGUGGGGCCCAACCCCAUCCAGCCGUUGAUACUGGGGAUCUAGAGUGUGCGAGAGGUAUGCGGAAUGCGUGGUGUAGCGGUGAAAUGCAUAGAUAUCACGCAGAACCCCGAUUGCGAAGGCAGCAUACCGGUGCACAACUGACGCUCAGGCACGAAAGCGUGGGUAUCGAACAGGAUUAGAUACCCCUGUAGUC
Molecule: ribosomal RNA, 439 nt
Filed under: uncultured bacterium
Lineage: Bacteria
Description: partial 16S ribosomal RNA
Rfam family: Bacterial small subunit ribosomal RNA
Source: RNAcentral